Molecule: long non-coding RNA, 481 nt
Organism: Peromyscus eremicus (cactus mouse)
Lineage: Eukaryota; Metazoa; Chordata; Mammalia; Rodentia; Cricetidae
Exons: 4
Source: RefSeq, a predicted model, not a curated record
CUAGACCAGCCAUGGCUCAGUGUGGGAGGGAAACUCAGACAUGAACAUAAGGAGGUGAAGGUUACUGAGCUCUGCCUUAGGCAUUGGAUACUAGACCUGAUGUUAAGUCCACCUGCCCUUCUCUCUGUAAACCGAAGUCUUCUUGAGUCCUUUUCAUGUAACUUCUAAAAUUCAGAUGAUUUGUUAUCGCUCCUAAAAUCGCCAACAAUUCUUUUGAAAAUUUUCCAGUUCUCUGUGAAGAAUCGUCCAGUCUCUGUAUGGAUGGGGACGGGAAACAUAUAAGACAAUAAUAUGUCAGCAUCUCAUGAGUGUACAGGGAGCUUCAAGGAUUAAACAAAAUACAUCACCUCCCCACUGCCUUCCACGAAGCAUACGUUCCAAGACUUCCAGUGGAUGCCUGAAGCCACAGGAGUUCCAGCAGAGCCAGAGGCGACAGUACCACCAGCAGCGAUGACAAACUGAAGACUUCACUCAAAGGUGA